Molecule: long non-coding RNA, 15697 nt
Filed under: Malus domestica (apple)
Lineage: Eukaryota; Viridiplantae; Streptophyta; Magnoliopsida; Rosales; Rosaceae
Description: long non-coding RNA (MDOM_LNC015568)
Source: RNAcentral
CACCUGGACUAGAACUUUUUACCCCAAUUUAAAUAGGUCUCAACCAAUCCUAACUCCUAUAGGAUUCUGAAUCAAGCUCUUUAAUCACUUAGAUUCAACCCUUGACUCUUGGCAUCUUUUCUGACUCGAAGCAUCCUUAGCUUCUGAGGAAUCCUUAUUGUACUAGGAUUCGACCACUUCACCCUUAUCCAGAUGGAACCAUCUUCUGAUAAGAUUCGGCCGAACUCUACUGGGCCAGGUCCAAGGUGGGAAUAUUCCUGAUACUUCUUACUAGACUGAGAACAAUCAUGAGCUCGGCCCAAAGUAUUAUUUUGGGUCCAAACAAAAGUAUCAUUUUUUUGCCUAGGGUUACAUAAAGUAUCUUUUUUUUUUUUUUUUUUUUGCUACGGUUACAUUUCUUAUGGUUUUAAUGAGUAGAGAAGGAGAAUAAUGGUUCUAUUCUUCUCACAAGAAGGUGAAUUUAUAAAACACAGGGCAAUACAAUCCUGAACAAUAAAAGAAAUAAAACUAAUUACAAUAAUUACUCUGAUAACUAGGAAUCCUAAAUAUUCAAAAGUCAAAACUCCUCCUCAAGUUGGCACAUAGAUAUCACACAUGCUCAACUUGAAUAAGAACCUAGUAAAUACACGACAAUCAACUGCCUUUGUGAGUAUAUCCGACAACUGAUCUUCUAUUCUAAUAGUUGGUACUUCAAUGAUCUUCCCAUGGAUCUUCUGUUUGAUAAAACAUCAGUCCACUGGAACAUAUGUUGUCCGUCAUGAUGUACUGGAUUAUGCGCAGUCAUGUGCUGGUUGAUUGUUACAAAAUAAUUUCUUAGGCUGAGAAUUAUGUUGUCCCAAAUAUUCGAAUCCAUAAUAUUUCACAAAUCCCCAAUGCCAUUUCACAGUAAUUUGCUUUUGCACUAGACCAGCUACCACAUUUCAUUCAUUACUCUUUCAUGUAACUGAAUUAGAUCCCACAAAUGUAUAGAAACGCGAUGUGGAACGCCUAUCAUCAAUUGAUCCUUCCCAGACAACAUCAGUAUACCCUUCAACUUAGAGAUGGUUAUUCUUCUUGAAUAGUAUUGAUGCGUAAAAUAACUAAACACACAAAUUAAACCCUCUUUUUAUCAAUUGUAGUAAAGUAUGUAAGUAGGGAUCGUUCUAGGCCGGGGAUUAGGAGGGAUUGCUAAAUCACUUGGAAACUGACUUGAAAACGUAAAAACAAAGUUUAAAACACUAACUAGACUCAAAGAAUGCAAAACUAUACUUUAAAACAUUAAAACAAACCAAAAGACUCAAAACAGCCCCUAAACACUCAAAACUACCUUAAAAACACAAUCUGGGCAAUUUUGGGACUCUCACACAAACUUGGACAAAUUUUGGUUUUCUAAUGAACUAAAACACUUAAAAACAUAAUCUAAGACAAGUUCUAAUUAAUAUGACUCAAAGAAAUAAGAUGGGGUUGAUUUUCGACGAAAAUAAUUAAAUUAAGACAAGAACAAAGUAAACAAAUUCUUAGACAAAUUUGGGUAAAUCAAAACACUCUAACACACAACCAAAACAGAAAUUAAACACUUUGAAACAAUAAAGUAAAAGGGGGAUUUUGGUUUUAAUGAAUUUGAAAACAAAAACAACUUUGUAAAACAAAACAGAUUGUAAGUGAAUUUGAAUGAAACUUAUGGAUGGAAGAUUAGCUAGGAGGUUCUUCUCCACAUAUGUCACACUUGCAUACAAAACGAUUUCCAGUUGCUUUUCGAUAAGCUAUGAAUACUCAACGCCCCAAAUUAACCGUGAAUUGCACUAAUUAACCCUCAGUUUUUUCCACAAGUUAUUAGGUUGGAUGAUUGCAUACGACAACCCAAAACAUUCCCUACAAGUUCCCUACAUGAAUUGCAUAAUAGAGAUACAAGCAAGAAUCAUUAAGUUCUAUGAAAAACAUAAGCAUUGACGAGGCACUCGUUACUAUGAUUUGCAUGAAACUUAUGCCAAGAGUUUACUUAACGUGAUUGUGACUAGCAACCUUCACUACUUGUGAAUAUAAGUUUAUAACGAUUAGGUGAAACUCCCUUAUAUUCUAGCGUCAAAUUCAUGCAUGAAAAUUAAGCGUGCACUCUUAACCAACAUACACAAAUUAGAUUUUAUAUGAACGGAUAAGUAAAUUGAAUUCACAACUUAUGAAUCACAACUGGAUGUAAUCAAAUCAUAUUGCAAGUAUGAACAUAGUUUCGAAUCACCCCCUAACUAAGAGGGGUUUAGUUCCUCAUACUCACAAAGCAAAGAUACAUAAAAUUAGACAUUAAAAUCAAAGGAAAGAAAACACCUAAAAUGCUCCAACUUGGUAGCAAGUGCAUCCAAGAUUCCUCCUUUCCUUAUGCUUGCGGCAGAUUGGGUUAUGGACAGAUUUUGGGUAGUUUUAUGAUGUAGAAUGGAUGGGGAAUGGUAUGGAAGGGUUUAGGGUGAGUGUGGAGGAGUGUUUGAUGGUUGGAGGGUGGUGGAGAACUAGGCAAAGAGGGUGGAAGAAGGUGGAGUGGCUGUUAUGUUUUCUAGGCACUAGAAUGGUGUUUUUGGGGUGUUUUGCUUCCUAGGGUGUGUAUGGACGAAUUUUUGUGAUAAAAUGAUGAAUAUGGGGGAUUGUCCUUUGGCCAAGGGGUGUAAACAUGUAUUUAUAGGCCCUAAAAACCUUAGAAAAUCAGGUUAGGUUAAGGAUGAAAUGCAUGGCAAUUUGUGUGUGUGGUGUGCAAUGGUCCAAGGGUGAAAAUGAAGUAAUGAUGCAAAGUGUGAAGGGUAAAAUGGAGUGGUGUUGUAGCUAGGGAGCAUGAAUGAUUGUGUACAUUGCAUAGAGAUGGAAAGGGAGGUGAAAUGUGUCAACAAAUGGGUCAAAGGUGCAACAACAUGUGUUGCACAUGGCAUUGGAUUCCAAAUGUGAAUGAUGGAGCAUCAAUUGGUGCAUGUAAUGGAUGUAAAUGUUGUCUAAAAUCUAAUGAGUGAAAGGAACAUGAGGUAUCAAGCAAUUGAGUGUAAUAAUUAAAUGAAUUGAAGCAUGAAAUUAGAAAUUAUGUAGGGGACAAGAGUGAUCAAGCAUGGCAUGGAAUCCAAAGGGAAUUCUAUGUGGCUUGCAUGGCAAGGAAUGCAAGUUGGGGUGACAGAUUUUUGGGCUGUUUUCUUCAUCUUUUGGACCAUAAUUCUUCAUAUUCUUGGCCUCUUUAGUUCUCAAAUUCGUCCAUCCACUUGGCCCAUGCAUUUGCUAUCGAUUCCAAGCCCGAAACAUGCUCCAAAGGCCUCCAAAAUGCAUCUUCUUGCAUACUUUGUACUUAGAGUCUGAAAACACACUAAAAUAACUUUGAACACUAAAAUAACUAAGGAAAUACAACGUAAAUGCACAAGAACAAGCUAACUAAGUCGCAUAAAUAUGCUCCUAUCAAAUUCCCCCACACUUAGCUUUUGCUAGUCCUCGAGCAAACAAAGAAAUAAAACGAAACAAAACAAAUAAAAUACAACCUAAACCUUCCAACAUUUGCCUCAGGGAUUCCAAUGCAUAUGACAUGUUAAAAAUCAUUAUCCCCACAGAUUUGAAUCAUCUUCACACUUAAACACGUACUUAAUCAUAGUCACUACUUACUUGUUCACAAUUAAUCGAUUAAAACAAUGUUUUUGAUGUAGUAACAUGCCUUAGAGAAUUUACUCAAUUCCUUUCAAAGUAUGCACUCAAUUUUCACUCAGAUUUUCUAACUACACACCCUAUACUAGUUAUAUGUGAGAAGAUUGAUGUAGAUAUGAAAACGAACGCUCACAUAUAUGUAUCACAAAGAAAGCAAUUUCUGGAGUUAAUAAGCAAGUUUAGAUAUGAUCUCAUGAAUGAAAUGCUACUACUUAGAUGCGAGAACCAGUGACACCAUAUGCUCAUACCAAAUUCAAACUCCACAUAUUGAAACGCAUGACACUCAAGAUGAAGUUAAGGGUUGUAACGGGGCUUGGGGUGAUGGCUAACAAAUGAAGGAUAAGGAUAACAAUCGUUCUUAAAGCAAUAGCAAGUAAAGUAAUGAAAUUGAAACUUAGAAUUCACUUAGAUUGCAGAAAUCAGCUUUUAGACACGAAGGGAAAAUUCAAGCAAUAAUUAGGGCCGAAUUCUAUGUUUUGGACCCUUUCUUCAACAAGCAGCACUUUAAAACUCUUUUUCGCAUAUUUUUUCAACUCUUUUUUUUUUUUUUUUUUUUUUUCAACUCUUCUUUUCUUUUCAACAAGCAUAAUAACUCACACUUCCCCCACACUUGUUUUCUGCCAUACAUUAAUCAAAAGAAAAUUCAAUUUGAAUCAUGUUUUACUAUGCUUCAAGAACAAGGGUAUGGAUGGUCCUAAACUAGGCUAGGUAAGGAUAAUGUGGUUUAACAAAGAAUGUAGGCUAUCAAGGCUCAAUGGGGUUAACUUAAACAUAUAACAAUAUGGGAUACAUGGCAGUUUGGCUUUGGUGGUGGUAACUACACAACUUCAUCUUGAAUAUGUUUUAUGCAAAUCAAUAGCAUGCUUUGAAUGAAAUAGGCAUGAGUUCUAGCAUUUGGACUAAAUGAUGAAACGCCUUCUAAGUAAUAACCAAGCAAAGAAUAAUGAGAUCAUGCAACGACUUUAGAAAACAAGAAUGCACAGAUUUUAACUCUCCAAAUAAACGUUUAAGCUCAAGUCUCACAAGGUUGGAGCGUUAGUUUGAGUUCUUUCCUUCAAGCAUGUUACAAAAACUAAUUUUUUUUCUUUUAUGAUUACAUGUGAUUUCAUAAGUUAUAACCACAACCACGCAUAAAUAAAGAGUAAAUCAAACUUUCAUCCAUGUUUAUAACUCUCUUUAACAGUCAUGUAAUUACAAACCGAAUCCUCAUCAUUGUGUUGGAAGGUACCCUAAGACACAAAUAAGCGCACAAAAACAACUCUUUUUUGGAUUUUCAAAAACAAUUUUUCAAAUUUUUAUGAAUUUUCGGAUUUUUAUGUCAAAACACACUGAAACACUCCAAAACAGCUUAAAAAAAAAUACUUAAAACAACAAGGAACAACACUAGAAGUAAUGGGUGAUAAAUUUCUACGAAUUUCAUGCAAAACAAUGGUUACCCCCCCACACUUAAAUCAAACAUUGUCCUCAAUGUUUCAAGCAUAUACUCACACCAAAAACAAGCAAAUAAUAAACGACAAAUAAACAUGACAAAUAUGGCAAAGUAAAAACCAGACAGAGUAGAGUUUAAGAACGCAAAUCUGGUUUUGGAGAUAGUUGAUCUUGUUGACUUUCCACAGCUUUGAUCUUGAACUGGAUUGGAAUUGUAUGGCGAAGCUUUUCUCUUUGGCGAUGUUGCAAUUCCUUAUUUGUACUCCAAGCAGAUGUGGCAGCUUCUCUAGUUCUUCAUCUCAGACUCCUUCCGCUGGGAUGAUUGUGCAAGCUGCAUUCUUCUCUGCUUGUUUCUUCUGCACGACGGGCAGGCACGAGGGAGAGGUGUUGGUCUGUUUCUUUCUUCAAUCUUUCCAAGUGCCCACCUCUUGCUUUCUUUCUCCUUGUCCCUAGUUGAGGAUGAAUCAGCACGUUGUCUCCACAUGCUUCGAGGUAUCAUCUUCACUUCCCUUAUACGUGAGAGACGAAGCGGAAGCAUAAAAUGAUGAGUACUCGAGAGCAGGUGCUGGCUGGAGAAAGGACAGGGACAAAGCAUGAUAUGAGAUACUCGUGCUCUCAACCUUUAUGAUAUGAAAUACUUGUGCUCUGGAUGGGUUGUUUGCAGGGGUAUCCCAGGGGAUGAAAAAUACAGAGUGACUUGAGAGGGUUUGUUGGAAAGCCAUUUCAAAGAGGAUGAAGGGUUAAGUGAGGCUGAAAGUUGGGUGAGACUGCUUCACUUUGAAGUUCAACAUUUAUAGAAUUUUCUUAAUGGCUGGGAAGGCAUUGUUCCAUUACUCGUGUCGGCAAGCCUGGGAUGAUUUAACAGUAGUUUUCACGUGCAUUCCGCUUCUCCAAAAUUUUUCGACAGAUUGCGCGUGAUAUACGCAACGCAGAUGUGCAAAUUGACAGAUGCUGACACGUCUCGAUAAAGCAGAGGUCUCUUUAAUAUCCGGAAUUUACGCUUCGAGUUCUGAGCUUCGUUGAGGGCAGAGAUUGCAUGUGACAAGUGCUGACGAGGCUGAGAGAGACAGAUGGUUGGAAUCGGUGCUUCGACAGACUGCCCGUGAUUUUCGCAAAGCUGAGUUGCGUGUGAUGGGUGCUGACGAGGCUGAGACAGUUGACGCUCUUCGGUAUCUGGAAUUGGUGGUUUGUGAGCAAGCCCAACUUUUGAGAAAGCUGACGCCUCUUCGAUCUCCGAAUGGCUUCUUCGAUUUCUGAGCUCACCUCUUCGAUCUCUGAAAUCCCAUCGCGUGCUGAUUUUUAUAGAGGUAUGCAGGACGUUCAAAGCACACUUGAAUUUCUGCCUGUAAAAACUCCCGUUUUGCACUUCUACGAUCUUGACUUGUCCGAUCUCCUCUUUCUUUAACACCUCUGAAAAAUGUCUGGCCCUUUCGACCGUCGUUUUGACUUGAACCUUGAUGAAGGAGCAGCCCCUCCUUCUCCAGACAACAUAUGGCGCCCGUCCCUCAUAUCCCCUACUGGUCCUCUCACCGUUGGGGAUUCGGUGAUGAAAAAUGACAUGACCGCUGUGGUGGUGGCCCGGAACCUUGUCACCCCCAGAGAUAACAGACUGCUCGCUAGACGGUCUGAUGAAUUGGCGGUUAAGGAGUCUCUGGCUCUUAGCGUGCAGUGUGCGGGUUCUGUGUCCAACAUGGCCCAACGCCUAUUUGCUCGAACCCGUCACGUUGAAUCGUUGGUGGCUGAAAUACAGAGUCUCAAAGAGAAGAUUAGAGGACUCAAGCAUGAAAAUAAACAAUUGCACAAGCUUGCACACAAUUAUGCCACAAACAUGAAGAGAAAAAUUGACCAGCUGCAGGAAAAUGAUGGUCAGAUUUUACUUGAUCACCGGAGGUUUGUGGGUUUGUUCCAACCGCAUCUGCCUUCGUCUUCUGGGGCGGCACCGCGUAGUGAAGCUCCAACUGAUCAACCUCCGAUACCUCUUCCUUCUGUGGCCCCACCGACUGCUGAGACUCCGCCGACUACUGCAACUCCGCCGACUACUACGACCUCUCCCAAGCAGCCUUUGUGAAGGCUCCCUCUUGUAUUAUGCUAUGUUUCUUUAUUUCCCAGUUUGCUAUUCAUUUCCACGAAGUUUAAUGUUAAAAUCCUUUGCAUAUUUGUUAAUGUUUCAAAAUAGAAAAUCACAACAAAAAAUAAUUAAACAAGUAAUAAAAUUGACAAUCAAGCAGAAUAAAUGGGUUGCCUCCCUUAAAGCGCUUGCUUUAACGUCUUCCAGCCGGACGAUGAACACAAUUACUCCCCACUGGAGCCCACGGCAUGCAAGGGAAUGUCCUCCACAACAUGCUCAACAAAGUUCUCAUAGAUUACAUCCUUGAACGGAAAUGGAUAGUGAUGUUUGUUGAUGGGUGCGUUGUGUUGCCUAAGGUUCAUGUUCAUACACCCACCAUCGGGGAUUUGCUUGGGUACCUGCACCAAAGAAGGGAACCACCUAUCAACUUUAAUGGAAAUUGGAUUUGGAUUAGGUGGCUUACGUAUGUGUUGUGAUGAAGUGGCAGCAAUGUGAACAUUCUUCCCCAUGGUGCGUUCGGCCAAUUUGAGCAUUUUGAGAGCAGUGGCCGUAUGGUCCUUGUGCGCCACUCCAAUUCCCUCGUCUUGCAUGGUUCUUGAUGCAUCCUUUGUGCCUAGUGCUGAAUGGUCCGGUCCUAUAUUUUCUAUUUUAUCAAUGGCACAACAAGAAUGAACAACAUUAGGAGACUCAAUGGAUUCAGAAAUUUUAAAACUAAUCAUGUCACCACCAAAUGCCAUAGUUACUAAUCCUUUGGCCACAUCAAUCUUCGUUUGAGCCGUUUUCAUGAAUAGCCUUCCAAGGAGGAUGGGCAAUGAAGGGGCAUGGUCUGAUUCAUCCAUUUCGAGAACAUAGAAAUCCACUGGGAAGAUUAAAUGAUCAACCUGCACUAAAACGUCUUCCAAAACUCCCUUUGGAUAAGUGUUAGAUCUAUCGGCCAAUUGUAUGAUUACACCAUCAUUUUUCAAUGCUCCUAAGUUCAUAGAUGCAUAAAUGGAAUAUGGCAUAACAUUUAUAGAAGCACCUAAAUCAAGCAUGGCAGAUUUGAAACGGGUAUUACCAAUGACACACGGAAUUGUAAAACUUCCCGGAUCUUUGCAUUUGGGGGGUAGUUUAUGUUGCAAGAUGGCGGAGACAUUCUCACUUACAUGUACCACCUCUUUCUCCCGGACACGUUUCUUUGUUGUACAAAGCUUCUUUAAACACUUGGCAUACUUCGGGAUUUGCUUUAUGGCAUGAAGGAGGGGAAUGUUGACUUGCAAAAAUCUUUUUCCUCCUCUUCGUUCUUUGAUUGCAAAAAUCUGCUAGGAAAGGGGACAUUCAAAGGAAAAACAUUAGUAGGAAUUGAAUUUAACACAUUCUUACCCUUAUUGGACAGAUUUGAAGGUUUAGGGGCCAUGGACACUUGCGGCAUAGGCGUGUCCACCUUUGCCGUGGGUGGGCAUGCUUCCUCCUCCUCAAAUUGAAUUUUUCAUCCUCUUUGUGACCUGUUUUUGAUGAAGAACCUGCCCCAAUCUCUUUUCCACUUCUCAAGAGUAUGGCCUUUGCACUUUCAAAGCCUCCCUUCGGGUUUGGAAUGGUAGAACUAGGAAGCCUUCCUUGGUCUCUAAUCUGCCCAACAACGUCGGCAAUCUACCCCAUUUGUUUCUCUAGUUGGUCCACUCUUUUGUUUUGAUUUUCCUGCCCAUUAGUCAAAGUGGUUAGUAACUUAACAAGUGUAUCAUUAUCCAAAGCAUUACCUGAAUUAUUUGGGGCAGAUUGUGGUUGGACUUGAGGGGGUGCGUAUGGGUUGUUGUAGAAGCCCGGGGGUUGUUGCCUAAAGCCUCCUUGUGGUUGGGCUUGUUGUGGCUCUCUCCAUUUGAAGUUUGGAUGGUCUCUUCACCCCGGAUUACACGUGUUAGAGUAUGGAUCAUGUCUUGGCUGAUUUUGGCUUUGAAACCCAAUGGCAUUAGCACUCUCCCAUCCACCAUUCUCAAUGAGUUGAGGACACUUUUCGGAUGUAUGUCCUUGGAUAGAACAUAGGCCACACACCAUGGGUCCUUGAAUCUUCAUUCCCUCAGCCAUCUGUGAAACAAGAGAAGUAAGAUUAGCUAACUGAGAUUGAAUAUUGGAAGUGGACUUACCUCAUGCACUUGUUGCCGUAGGGGUCCUCUUUGGCCUACACCCUCGUAUUGUUGAGCGUUCAAUGCUCGAUUAGCAAUCAAGAUGUUUGCAGCCAUGGGCGUUUUGUCUACCAAUGCUCCACCUGCCGAGGCAUCGAGCAUUUGACGUUCUAGUGGUAGGAGCCCUUCGUAGAAGUAUUGCAAAAGCAAUUCCUCCUUCAUCUGAUGCUGUGGACAAGAAGCAACAAGUGAUUUAAAUCGUUCAUAAUAUGUAGGAAAAGACUCACCUUCAUCUUGUUGAAUUCCACUUAUUUUUUUACGAAGAAGAAUGAUGCGAGAAGUUGGGAAAAACUUCUCCGGAAACGCCCUCUUCAUACUCUCCCAAGAUGUAACUGUACCGGGAGCCAACUCGUAUAACCAAUCCUUGGCUUUGUCCAUUAAAGAGAAUGGAAAAGCCUUCAUCUUCAAAAUACUUCCGUCGACGUUAACCGGAGUCAUGCUUGAACACACCACUUCAAAUUCUUUUAAAUGCUUGUUCGGAUCCUCCAUGGACAGCCCAUGGAACUUUGGAAUGUGGUGGAGCAAACUUGACUUUAACUCGAACUCUUCGGUUUUACCUUGAGCAGCCAUGGGAUAUUGGAUACACAAUGGUGCGGCAUUAUCCAAACCCGAGGCGGCAAGCUCCUUGAGCGUACGGUUGUCCAUGGCUAUACCUUGCUCUUCUCCACCCACUUGUGCCGUGGGCUUCUCUUCAACCUCAACUUCUUGCUCUUCUAAUUCAGGCUCGGGACUAGGAUGAUUAGACUCUUGCAAAUUCUUUUUCCUUCUCAAAGUCCUCUCAAAAUCACCGUCAAAGUCGGAGAUAUGCUCACGAACAGGUUGUGAGCUACGGGUCAUAAACUAGUACCUAAAAACAAAGAAAACAAAACAAAUCAGCAACUUAAACAGAAACUUAACAAAAUACAAUAAUUCGAAAGAAAACAAUCCAAGAGAUUAGCAAAGUUGCUAAUCCCCGGCAACGGCGCCAAAAUUUGAUGCGUAAAAUAACUAAACACACAAAUUAAACCCUUUUUUUAUCAAUUGUAGUAAAGUAUGUAAGUAGGGAUCGUUCUAGGCCGGGGAUUAGGAGGGAUUGCUAAAUCACUUGGAAACUGACUUGAAAACGUAAAAACAAAGUUUAAAACACUAACUAGACUCAAAGAAUGCAAAACUAUACUUUAAAACACUAAAACAAACCAAAAGACUCAAAACAGCCCCUAAACACUCAAAAUUACCUUAAAAACACAAUCUGGGCAAUUUUGGGACUCUCACACAAACUUGGACAAAUUUUGGUUUUCUAAUGAACUAAAACACUUAAAAACAUAAUCUAAGACAAGUUCUAAUUAAUAUGACUCAAAGAAAUAAGAUGGGGUUGAUUUUAUUCGAAAAUAAUUAAAUUAAGACAAGAACAAAGUAAACAAAUUCUUAGACAAAUUUGGGUAAAUCAAAACACUCUAACACACAACCAAAACAGAAAUUAAACACUUUGAAACAAUAAAGUAAAAGGGGGAUUUUGGUUUUAAUGAAUUUGAAAACAAAACAAACUUUGUAAAACAAAACAGAUUGUAAGUGAAUUUGAAUGAAACUUAUGGAUGGAAGAUUAGCUAGGAGGUUCUUCUCCACAUAUGUCACACUUGCAUACAAAACGAUUUCCAGUUGCUUUUCGAUAAGCUAUGAAUACUCAAUGCCCCAAAUUAACCGUGAAUUGUACUAAUUAACCCUCAGUUUUUUCCACAAGUUAUUAGGUUGGAUGAUUGCAUACGACAACCCAAAACAUUCCCUACAAGUUCCCUACAUGAAUUGCAUAAUAGAGAUACAAGCAAGAAUCAUUAAGUUCUAUGAAAAACAUAAGCAUUGACGAGGCACUCGUUACUAUGAUUUGCAUGAAACUUAUGCCAAGAGUUUACUUAACGUGAUUGUGACUAGCAACCUUCACUACUUGUGAAUAUAAGUUUAUAACGAUUAGGUGAAACUCCCUUAUAUUCUAGCAUCAAAUUCAUGCAUGAAAAUUAAGCGUGCACUCUUAACCAACAUACACAAAUUAAUUUUUAUAUGAACGGAUAAGUAAAUUGAAUUCACAACUUAUGAAUCACAACUGGAUGUAAUCAAAUCAUAUUGCAAGUAUGAACAUAGUUUCGAAUCACCCCCUAACUAAGAGGGGUUUAGCUCCUCAUACUCACAAAGCAAAGAUACAUAAAAUUAGACAUUAAAAUCAAAGGAAAGAAAACACCUAAAAUGCUCCAACUUGGUAGCAAGUGCAUCCAAGAUUCCUCCUUUCCCUAUGCUUGCGGCAGAUUGGGUUAUGGACAGAUUUUGGGUAGUUUUAUGAUGUAGAAUGGAUGGGGAAUGGUAUGGAAGGGUUUAGGGUGAGUGUGGAGGAGUGUUUGAUGGUUGGAGGGUGGUGGAGAACUAGGCAAAGAGGGUGGAAGAAGGUGGAGUGGCUAUUAUGUUUUCUAGGCACUAGAAUGGUGUUUUUGGGGUGUUUUGCUUCCUAGGGUGUGUAUGGACGAAUUUUUGUGAUAAAAUGAUGAAUAUGGGGGAUUGUCCUUUGGCCAAGGGGUGUAAACAUGUAUUUAUAGGCCCUAAAAACCUUAGAAAAUCAGGUUAGGUUAAGGAUGAAAUGCAUGGCAAUUUGUGUGUGUGGUGUGCAAUGGUCCAAGGGUGAAAAUGAAGUAAUGAUGCAAAGUGUGAAGGGUAAAAUGGAGUGGUGUUGUAGCUAGGGAGCAUGAUGAAUGAUUGUGUACAUUGCAUAGAGAUGGAAAGGGAGGUGAAAUGUGUCAACAAAUGGGUCAAAGGUGCAACAACAUGUGUUGCACAUGGCAUUGGAUUCCAAAUGUGAAUGAUGGAGCAUCAAUUGGUGCAUGUAAUGGAUGUAAAUGUUGUCUAAAAUCUAAUGAGUGAAGGGAACAUGAGGUAUCAAGCAAUUGAGUGUAAUAAUUAAAUGAAUUGAAGCAUGAAAUUAGAAAUUAUGUAGGGGACAAGAGUGAUCAAGCAUGGCAUGGAAUCCAAAGGGAAUUCUAUGUGGUUUGCAUGGCAAGGAAUGCAAGUUGGGGUGACAGAUUUUUGGGCUGUUUUCUUCAUCUUUUGGACCAUAAUUCUUCAUAUUCUUGGCCUCUUUAGUUCUCAAAUUCGUCCAUCCACUUGGCCCAUGCAUUUGCUAUCGAUUCCAAGCCCGAAACAUGCUCCAAAGGCCUCCAAAAUGCAUCUUCUUGCAUACUUUGUACUUAGAGUCUGAAAACACACAAAAAUAACGAACACUAAAAUAACUAAGGAAAUACAACGUAAAUGCACAAGAACAAGCUAACUAAGUCGUAUAAAUAUGCUCCUAUCAGGUAUCCCUUUUCCAGGACUCCCCUUCAAAUAUCUUAAUAUUCUCAUAAUAAUAUUCAUAUGCUGCUCUCCAAGGUAAAGCAUGAACUGGAUGAUCACUCCUAAAACAUGUGCCAAAUCUGGCCUUAUAUGUGCUAAAUACACUAGUCGGACAACUGAUCUUUGGUAUCUGCCCUUAUGCUUGAUUCAGAUUUAUUCUAAGUUUUAAGCCUUAUUCUACUGGUGUAGCUAUUGGAUGACAAGCAUACAUCACAUUCUCUUGUAACAAAUCUAAAGUAUAUUUCCUUUAAGAUAGAAAAAUCCCUGAUUUAUUCUGAGAUACUUUGAUGUGUAGAAAGUACUUUAAUGCACCAAGGUCCUUCAUCGCAAACUCUGAAGACAGAUAUUUCUGAAGUGUCAAUCGUUCCUUGUCAUCGUCUCUAGUAACCACCGUAUCAUCUACAUAAACUAUGAGUGCUGUAACUUUUAUUCUUCAUUUUCGUUUUAUAAAUAGAGUAUAGUCUGAGUUACUUUGUUUAUAACCGAACUAUUUCAUAGCCUGUGUAAACCUCCCAAACCAUGCUUGAGGUGAUUGUUUAAGACCAUACAAGGACUUCAAUGGUCUGCAAACCUUCUUGCCUUCAGAACCUAGAAACUAUAUCCAAGAGGAAGAUCCAUAUAGACUUUUUCUUUUAACUGUCCAUGCAAGAAUGCGUUCUUCAAAUCAAACUAGUGUAAGGGCCAUUCAAGGUUCGUUGCAAGAUAUAAUAAAACACGAACAAAAAUAAUCUUAACAACUGGUGCAAAGGUCUCGUUAUAAUUGAUCUCAUACUUUUGUGAGUAUGCUUUUGUCACUACACUAGUCUUGCGUUAUAUCAAUCUAUGGAUCUAUAUGUCAAAUACUUUACUGUAAAUAUCCACCUGCAUCUUACUGACUUCUUGCCAGUUGGCAAACCAGCAAUUCGCCAAUUGUCUUUUAGGAUUGACAUUAGUGCAUUCAACUCCUCGUCCAUCGCGGCACUCCUUUUAGGAUCGACCAAAGCUUCCAGCAUACUGUUAGGAAUAGAUACAGAGGAUAAUUGACUUAAAAAUGCUUUAUUUGAUUUUGACAAAUGAUCAGUGGACACAUAAUUACUCAUUGGGUAUUUUUCUUUGCAUUUAGGAUCAGACUCAUAAGUGGGUUUUCAAAUACCUCAAUUACUUCUUGGUAGAAGCCGUGAUGGUGGUAACAGUAGUGGAGGAGAUUGUUUAUGGCUAUAAGGAUCAGGCACAAGGAAAACCGUUGGUAUCUAUGUCUCUGGCUGCACUGUUAGCUCAGUGCUAGCUACUGGUACUUCGAUGUUAACUGUCGAACUUGGGACUGCUUACUGAUUCCCUAUCAAGUGCUGGUAGCUCGAUGAUAAUAGUAACUAAGGUUGGAUCAUCACUAUAUAUAUCAACUAUUUCAUCAUCACCACAUCUCUCAACAGUAUCAGGCAAGACAUUAUAGUUAAACGUCUGCACUUCAUGUUUCCUCUUCCCCUAAAGUGAGGACUCAGGUGCUGGAUAAUACAUAACAAAAUUGAUGCACAACAUAUCUAUGGUGACAAAUUUCCUCUUGGUGGGAGGAUGAUAGCUAUGGUAUCCUUUAACAUAUCAAAAAACAUGUGGUAGGAGUACUCGGUGUAGGCGGUUCGGCAAUAAGUGACUAUAGAGUAUCAUGUGGAGUUUGGAAUCAAUAGUGGCAAACGGCACCCUGUUGAUCAAGUAAGUAGCAGAAAUAAGAGAUUCACCCCAAUAAGACAAUGGCACAUUUGAAUGAAGCAAAGACGCUCGAACCACAUUGAGAAUGUGUUUAUUUUUUCACUCAGCAACAACAUUCUAUUAUGGUGUAUACGAGCAAGAUGGACAAUACCAUGAUCAUCGAGAAAAGUUCAAAGAUCAUUAUUUACCUAUACUCUGCCAUUAUCACUAUGAAUUACUUGUACCUGUACUUUAUAUUGAACAGUCACCAUUUUAUGAAAUUUAUGAAAUAUAGAAAAUACCUUACUCUUGUUUUUCAUCAAAACAACCCACGUCAUGCAAGUACAAUAAUCAAUAAAAGUUACAGACCAAUGGACACCGCCUAAAGUAGUAAGCUUAGAUGGACCCUAGAAAUUAGAAUAAACUAACAUAAAUGGUACUGAACUUCUAUUCAAACUGGGUCAAAAAGAAACACGGUGGCCAUGAGUCAGUUCACAAACAUCACAAUUAAAGCUAGAAACUUUCGGAAACAAAUUCGGAGACAAUUUCUAAAAUAACCAAACAAGGCAUGUCUUAAACAAUGAUGUCUCAACCAAAUCUCAGACAUACAUUUCGGCUCCCUUUGAGAACUAUCAACCGACCAAGCUUGAGUUAAGCGACGAGUUCUCUCUGAUGUCAAGUAAUGUUAAUACAACUUCCCCUUCUUAGUUCCAUAACCAAUCGUCAUUCAAGUUUGAAUGUCCUUAAACACACAAAAAUGAGGCAAGAAGACAACCAAACAGUGUAAGGUAAUGGUUAUUUGAGCCACAUAAAAAUGACCAUAAGGAGGUGACGGAACCACAAGAAUAGUAACAAGGCUAAUGUUAUUUGAGCCACAUAAAAAUGACCAUAAGAGUAGGGGUGGCACCACCAUUCACUGUGGUAACAUCAAUCUAAGUAGAUGGUUUUAUGUUUCCAACAACUUUAGAAACAAAUGUCAUAUGUGCAACCAUGUUCUAAAAUAAGCUAGGCAUUAGUCGGGUGGUAGGCUAGGGCCUAGCCCUAGGUGGCUAGGGCCUAGCCCUAGGUGGCUAGGCGGGGCCUACGCGGGUGCCUAGGUGGACUAGGCAGAUUUAAGUAAAUAUUUUAUAUUUCAUGUAAAUAAGUGUCUGCUUAUACUUAAAAUAUAUAUAAUUUCAUCAUAAACUACAAAAUAGAAUGACAUACAUAUUAUGAAGUAUUGAAACUGUUGAUCCUAAAAACUACCAAGCCUACGUGGUGCGCAGGCCAAGUAAUUAGUAAGUUAAUUACGUCCUUCGGUUGUAUGCGGGGCGUGCUAACUCGUCGACCGAGCUCAGCCGAGGAGUAAAAUUUGUUGAUCUUGGUUUGGGUGCCCGACCGACUUCUGCGUCUU